CAUUUUUUAUCUUAUAUCAUAAACUUUAUGUUUUUUUGGAUAAUGGAACUGCUUGCGUAUAAAGAAAUUAGGCUUUUUAAUUAAGGUUUAAGAGUAAGUUGGCUUGUCAGAUUUAUUGUCUCGAUGCUAUUAAUAUGUUUUCUUAAGACAAAUUGUUUAUAGUAUUUUGAUAAAAAAAGUCAAUUGGGUAACACCAAUUGAAUCCAUCUAGCAAUAUGUUACACAUGUUACGACAUAAAAUCCCGACUCAAAAAUUUACAUCACAGGCUUGCCAGUGAUAUUUUUCUAGUACGUCAAACAAAACAUUUAAAAUAUGUCUUUAGAUUUUAAAUCUUUAAGCAUAAACGGUGAAUACCUCGACUCCUAAAUCGAUGAAGACCGUAGCAAACUGCGAUAAUUCACUUGAAUUGCAGCCUACUGGGAUAGUUGAAAUGUUGAACGCACAUGAUGACAUCGGUCCUUUCGGAUUAGGUGUUAUACUUGGGUGAGAGUGGUCCUGAUAGAAUCCCUUUUGGGUGUGUCUAUUGAACUUGAUUAGAUGGUGGUAAAAAGUGCGCGAGUGCAUAGCAGCUUCGUCCUAAUAAACUAUGCGAGGACCGCCCGAAAUGAGCCAAAUGUUAAUCAAGGGAGAUAGAUAACGCCUGAUUGGACGUAUGCCUAGGGUAUCUUUCCGUCUGUUGCCCCGCAAGGGGGGGCUUACUGGGUGACUUAGGCUACUAUGUUGUAAUUCUCUCGAUUUGUCACUGUCAUUCGGCUAGCAUUUAGAGGUUAACGUAAUCAAUAUACAUUGGUCACAAAAAACUUUUUAAUGGUGGAAGGUAAAUUUAAUGUCACUAAUAAUCGGUCCGUCAAAUUGGUUAGUUUAGAGGGCAUUAAGCGUGCUGAAAGCUAUUAGAAAGGAUCAAUUGUGUUGAUUCGACCUAUCUCUAAUAUGUUAGUCGGGUAUGUCCGGCAGUUUAGCGGCAGGGGGAACGGUGUACGCGCUGGGUUUCUGGCCACCGUUGCAGUAGCAGGUAAGAUCUGCGUAAUACUAGUACUUGUCCGAAAGAU
Molecule: unclassified non-coding RNA, 1050 nt
Filed under: Dictyostelium discoideum
Lineage: Eukaryota; Evosea; Eumycetozoa; Dictyosteliales; Dictyosteliaceae
Description: partial contains 18S rRNA, ITS1, 5.8S rRNA, ITS2 and 26S rRNA
Rfam family: 5.8S ribosomal RNA (bases 337-494)
Source: RNAcentral